RNAcentral lists this ribosomal RNA (540 nucleotides) under uncultured bacterium. Its description in RNAcentral is "bacterial SSU rRNA". It matches the Rfam family "Bacterial small subunit ribosomal RNA", at positions 8 to 526 of the family's 1533-position model. The record is from RNAcentral.
AGAGUUUGAUCCUGGCUCAGAACGAACGCUGGCGGCGUGGAUAAGACAUGCAAGUCGAACGAGACUUUUCGUUGUAGCAAUACGAUGGAAAGUUUAGUGGCGAACGGGUGCUUAACACGUGGGCAACCUGCCAUGAAGUGGGGGAUAGCUCGCCGAAAGGCGAAUUAAUACCGCAUGUGAUUAGAGAGGACAUCCUUUCGAAAUUAAAGUCGGGGCAACCUGACGCUUCUUGUGGGGCCCGCGGCCUAUCAGCUAGUUGGUGAGGUAACGGCUCACCAAGGCUUUGACGGGUAGCUGGUCUGAGAGGACGACCAGCCACACUGGGACUGAGACACGGCCCAGACACCUACGGGUGGCAGCAGUCGAGAAUUUUUGACAAUGGGGGAAACCCUGAUCGAGCGACGCCGCGUGGAGGAUGAAGGUCUUCGGAUUGUAAACUCCUGUCAUUGGGGAACAAGGUGCAUAUGUUAACUGCGUGUGCAUUGAUAGUACCCGAAGAGGAAGAGACGGCUAACUCUGUGCCAGCCGCCGCGGUAAUUC